UACGGAAGGCAGCAGGUGGGGAAUAUUGCACAAUGGGCGAAAGCCUGAUGCAGCUAUGCCGCGUGUAUGAAGAAGGCCUUAGGGUUGUAAAGUACUUUCAUCGGGGAGGAAAAACAAAACUAAUAAUUUUAUUUCUUGACGUUACCCGAAAAAGAAGCACCGGCUAACUCCGUGCCAGCAGCCGCGGUAAUACGGAGGGUGCUAGCGUUAAUCAGAAUUACUGGGCGUAAAGAGCACGUAGGUGGUUUUUUUAAGUCAGAUGUGAAAUCCCUGGGCUUAACCUAGGAACUGCAUUUUGAAACUGAAAUACUAGAGUAUCGUAGAGGGAGGUAGAAUUCUAGGUGUAGCGGUGAAAUGCGUAGAUAUCUGGAGGAAUACCUGUGGCGAAAGCGGCCUCCUAAACCGAAUACUGACACUGAGGGUGCGAAAGCGU
Molecule: ribosomal RNA, 433 nt
Filed under: uncultured bacterium
Lineage: Bacteria
Description: bacterial SSU rRNA
Rfam family: Bacterial small subunit ribosomal RNA
Source: RNAcentral